GGUGGUGGUGCAUGGCCGUUCUU
RNAcentral lists this non-coding RNA (23 nucleotides) under Drosophila melanogaster (fruit fly). RNAcentral also lists the same sequence under 2 other names. The record is from RNAcentral. Lineage: Eukaryota; Metazoa; Arthropoda; Insecta; Diptera; Drosophilidae.